UACGAAGGGGGCGAGCGUUGUUCGGAAUUACUGGGCGUAAAGGGCGCGUAGGCGGUGUGUCAAGUCAGGCGUGAAAGCCCCGGGCUCAGCCUGGGAACGGCGCUUGAGACUGGCACGCUCGAGUUCGGGAGAGGAUGGUGGAAUUCCCAGUGUAGAGGUGAAAUUCGUAGAUAUUGGGAAGAACACCGAUGGCGAAGGCAGCCAUCUGGACCGACACUGACGCUGAGGCGCGAAAGCGUGGGGAGCAAACAGG
This 253-nucleotide ribosomal RNA is filed under the name uncultured bacterium. Its description in RNAcentral is "partial 16S ribosomal RNA". It matches the Rfam family "Bacterial small subunit ribosomal RNA", at positions 524 to 776 of the family's 1533-position model. The record is from RNAcentral.